UCUGGGAUAGCUCAGUCGGUAGAGCGUGAGGCUCUUAAUCACAGGGUUGUGGGUUCAAACCCCACUUUGGGCA
Molecule: transfer RNA, 73 nt
Filed under: Podarcis lilfordi (Lilford's wall lizard)
Lineage: Eukaryota; Metazoa; Chordata; Lepidosauria; Squamata; Lacertidae
Description: tRNA.Lys
Rfam family: tRNA (bases 7-66)
About the family: Transfer RNA (tRNA) molecules are approximately 80 nucleotides in length. Their secondary structure includes four short double-helical elements and three loops (D, anti-codon, and T loops).
Source: RNAcentral